CAAAUCUUUGAGAGUGCUGCGUUUACGUAGUAUCUCACAUUAGCACAAGGCCGCAAGGUCUUGAUGUUUACGCUUGUUUGUUUGACAGAGUUAGUUGAGACACAAAUAAAGA
This 112-nucleotide unclassified non-coding RNA is filed under the name uncultured Rozellomycota. RNAcentral's name for it is "uncultured Cryptomycota sequence contains ITS1". The record is from RNAcentral. Lineage: Eukaryota; Fungi; Rozellomycota.